AAUCUUCCGCAAUGGACGAAAGUCUGACGAGCCACCGCGCGGGGAUGAAGAAGGGUUUUCGGUCGGUAAACCCCGGUGGCCGGGAAGAACGCAUGGGUGGUAACUGCACCCGUUGGUACGGUACCCUGGAAGAAAGCCCCGGCUAACUAAGUGCCAGCAGCCGCGGUAAUACGUAGGGGGCAAGCGUUGUCCGGAAUUAUUGGGCGUAAAGCGCGGGCAGGCGGCCAUGUAAGUCUCGUGUUUAAUCCCGGAGCUCAACACCGGUCCGCACGAGAAACUGUGUGGCUUGAGUGCAGAAGAGGAGAGUGGAAUUCCACGUGUAGCGGUGAAAUGCGUAGAGAUGUGGAGGAACACCAGUGGCGAAGGCGACUCUCUGGUCUGUAACUGACGCUGAGGCGCGAAAGCGUGGGUAGCGAACAG
This 420-nucleotide ribosomal RNA is filed under the name uncultured bacterium. Its description in RNAcentral is "partial 16S ribosomal RNA". It matches the Rfam family "Bacterial small subunit ribosomal RNA", at positions 360 to 775 of the family's 1533-position model. The record is from RNAcentral.